UACGUAGGGUGCGAGCGUUAAUCGGACUUACUGGGCGUAAAGUGUGCGCAGGCGGCCGAGCAAGUCGAGUGUGAAAGCCCCGAGCUUAACUUGGGAACUGCGCUCGAAACUACUUGGCUAGAGUGUGGCAGAGGGAGGUGGAAUUCCACGUGUAGCGGUGAAAUGCGUAGAGAUGUGGAGGAACACCAGUGGCGAAGGCGACUCUUUGGCCUGUAACUGACGCUGAGGCGCGAAAGCGUGGGGAGCAAACAGG
RNAcentral lists this ribosomal RNA (253 nucleotides) under uncultured bacterium. RNAcentral's name for it is "partial 16S ribosomal RNA". It matches the Rfam family "Bacterial small subunit ribosomal RNA", at positions 524 to 776 of the family's 1533-position model. The record is from RNAcentral.